CUACCUUCCAAUUUUAUCAAAAUAUCUAUUCAUAUCUAUCCAUAUUCUUUUAUAAAAUUCUAAUUUCUAACCCUAAAUCCCAAAAAUUCCCAAAUUCAUUCAGAAACACUAAUUUUCCCAAUUCACAAACCCUAACCCCUUACCCCCUUUCUCCCAAAACGCAGACACACACACACACACACACAGAGGAGAGGAGAGCGUUUGAGGGAGCUGAGAGGAAGAGAGGGGACUACACCACAUCGUCGUCCAGCCACCGUCCAUCCCGCCAUCACCGCGUCUCACUGCUGUCGCUGUGGAGACCGAACGCCUUCGAGUUUCCUGCUGCCACCUUGGAGCCCGUCGUCAUCAAGAGCGUCAGGAGAAAGAGAGAGGGACGAACUCGCGACGGAGAGGGAGGAGGUUGCGCCGCGCAGCCGUGGAGCCCGUCACACGUGUCACCACCGUCAGAAGCAGAACCACGAAGAGGAGAGGAAGAACGACGUUGGGAGGAAACUGUGAGCUGCAAGCCGCUGACCGAGAAGAAGCUCUGCCUUUGUCACCGUGUUGGAGUCGUCGCUGCCAACGCCGCGCACCGCCGUUAGCGCUGCCGUUGAAGGGAGCUCGCCGUCACAGUUCAAUCAUCAUUGAGCUUGAAGGGAGGCGCCACUGAAAUACCCGACAGUAGCUUCCCCUGCAUUCCCAAUUCCAUUCUUGAAACUUCGACCCCGUCGUUCAUGCCCCUUUGCUGCACCUGUUUCUCUACUGCUAUUAUUUGGAAUACCGGCGUUGAUGCUAUUAUGAAUCUGUUAGAAUUGCUAUUGGGCUGUGAUUGCUCUUAAUUUCCACCCAAUUUGAAUCCUUUGCUUGGUUACAACCCCGAUCACUGCUGUGAUGAUUAACAAUGCUGCUAUUCUGGUUAUUGCUUCUGCCGUUCCAGUUGCGUGAGAGUCACUGCUGUUGCCAUGAAACUAAAAGGGAAGGGAGUUGUUACGUUAAAGUAUGCGAUUGCGACAUCGAGUGACACAGGUUUGAAGAUGUGAUUUGAAGCUGCGAGCGAUUAGUAGGCUUCCUUUAUGGUUUUAAUUGCUUUCAUAGAGUCCCCUCGCUCUUUUCCUUUGAAGUUUUAUUUUAUCAGAGGGGUAGGUAUAUUGUAUUUGGGUUUAUAUGACUUCAUAUGUAUAAGAAUUACUAAUAAUAAUACCCCUGUGAUUGUUAUUACUAUUUGCAAUGUUUAUCCUUGAUACAUGUCUUUAAUGAAUAAAAACAAAAUUUUCUGGCAUUUUCUUAAAACUAAGAUGCAAACUCGAUACAAAAGCUCGAUAAUUAAGUAGUUAAUACUAGAGAAGGUUACGUAAUGUUCUUUUUAGUAGAAAUACCCUGACUUAAGCAAGGUAUUUUGCUGGAAGGGAUGUUACAAUAUGGUAUCAGAGCAGUCCUUCCUGUAGAGCCUUAGGAGUGGACUGACUAUGCUUCAUUGCAUACUCUGAGUGUCUGUCAUGCUUUCUAACUUGUUCUGAUGACAAGAUUUUAUGUUUUAUAUGCAUGACUGUCUAGUGAUUAAUGCUAUUAGUUUACCAUUUAAUACCUCAUGGUAUCAAGUUUGGCCAACUUAAUACUAAUGAUUUAUGUAUAUGAAAAUACUAAUGGGUUAUCAUAGACGAAAUAGAAGUGAUAGGUUAAUUCGAAACACGAGGUUUUGGGGAUGUUAGAAACUAAAUUCUAGAGAUUAGUUCCGUUUCGACGUAUGCUCUUUAUUCGUGCUUAGCGUUAUCUCUUUCUCUACUAUUUGUAUUGGAAUUUCUAGUUUUUGAUCUCAUUCUUGCUAACCUUGUAUUAUCAUUCGUGCAUGUCCUUGCUUGACUCUGUGUCUGGUUGUUGUUUGAAUCCUUUUAAACAUUUAUCCUUACCUUACAAGCUCUAUGCUCCUUGCUCUGAAUUCGGAAUUAUUUCGGUGCAGUAUACUAUCUCUUGAAAUUUCCUUCUUGAGUACUUGUUUCAGAUUCUCUUCGAGAAAAAUUUCAAUUUACAACUUUUCUUACUUGACUGUAUCCACAACCCUUACUUAAAUUUUGAUGGAAUUGUUUUUAAUUCAGCCUAGACUUUCUUACAUAAACUUUGAAACUUCUUUAUAUAGUUUAAUCUUGUUUAUUUGUGAUAUACCACUUAUCUUUUAUUGAUUUUUAGAAAAUUUUAUUUCAGAAUUCAUUCUUUAAAUAGAAGCUGAUUUUCUGCCAACUUUACUAUAAUUCUAUAGCUAUGUACUUAAGUAUCUUCCAAGCUUUAGUUUACAAACCAUGCAUGAUUUGUUUUGAUUUGAAAUUAAAUCAGUAUAACAUAUUGUUUAUACUUAGUUCAGUACUUUUGGAAAAUGUUAGAUUUAUAUAUAUUCUUUUGAAAAAAAAAUAAACUAAUUCCCUCUAUUUCAAAUUGAAGUUGUUCAAAAUUGUACUAUUUUUCCUAUGAUGUUCAUAUUGAAACUGUUCGAUUCAAAAUUUCUUCUUAAGCUUUCGAAUUAACUUUCCUUAUGAUACAUUUCAUUGCUUAUAUAUAUCCUUGUUUAUUGAUGAUCUUACGUAUUCCUUCAAAUCCUUGCGAAAUGCCAUCUUGUUCAACUGUGAAUUUGAGUAUUCCCCCAAUUUCUCGCAUAAACCUUUUGUGCUGUUUGUCUUUCUCUUCUCAUGUUUCGUAUUCCUUAUAUGCGCUAGUUCUUAGGGACACGAUUUGUGCAUACGGAAAGUGAAUCUGGUUAGUCUAUGAAGUUAUAAGGAGUUAUGGAGUUUUGAGACGACGAAAGGAAGUGAUCAUGCUUUGUUAAGAGUUCUGAACGAACAUUGUACCUAUUUAAUUUUGGAUUUUGAAAUUUGGUUUGCGUGAAAUUAUUUUUUUUAUCAACUUUUGCAACACCUAGUAUAUUUUCUUCUAUGUUUGUGAUAUGAAUUUCUUGAUCUCUUUAAAAUAUUCAAAAAGGGAUGUGAAUAUAAAU
Molecule: long non-coding RNA, 2962 nt
Organism: Arachis stenosperma
Lineage: Eukaryota; Viridiplantae; Streptophyta; Magnoliopsida; Fabales; Fabaceae
Exons: 4
Source: RefSeq, a predicted model, not a curated record